UGGGUAGCAAUAACUUAUAUCAAAUAAAGUACAACGACUGGUUGGAUAUUUGAUGAUGCACCUGUUCUGAAAUUUCCAUGAAAUAAACUAAUGGAUGCUUUAUUGAAAAUCAAGACGAAGCAUGGACAUCGGUGUAUCAGCGUAUUUAAAUUGGCAAGUCGGGUAUGACUAUAGUUAUAUACAAAUUAUAAUUUCCUGUUUGUUCCUUCACCACUAGAGUCCUUGAUAGUAAUGCGUCUUAUAUAUGUAGAUCUCCUAUAUAUAUAUAUACUUCAGAUUUUUUCAAUUACUUAUGAUUUAUAUAUUUUCAAGCAUGAUUACAACAGCUAAGAUUUGCUUUUUUGCUUGUCUGAUCGGUAAGUAAACAUUAUUGCCUCACUAAAAUUAUUUAUUGCUUGAUAUGCAUGUCAAAUGAGCAAGUCAGGUACACAUCAUGAUUACGUUAACACGAUUCCGUCACGAUGAAGCAUGCUAUAUGGACUCUUACACUUUAAACAACAGUUUCUUUAUAUACUCAUGUCAUACAUCUUUUAACCGACGUACAUGUUACAGGAAAUUAUUUUAACUUAUUAACGUGUGAUAUCAACUGAGAACAGAACAAAUCAACAUAUGAUUUAUAUUCAUUCGCAAAAUUAACGCUUUUAUUCGCUCUCACCCCAUAUGGAAUUUACUGAACCCAUAUAUAUCGUAUUAGGUCACUAGCACACUAUGUAACGCGUUUAUAGAAUUUCAUAUAUAUGUCUCUUUCAAAUCCGCAUCUGUAUCAACGCAAGACGCCAUUACGAUCCUACAAGACCGUUGAAUUAUAUUGAUCAAUGGUUGAUAUAUGUAUAAUAUUGCAAAAAACAGUAUCAUAUACACGUUUUCAUGUUCCUAAAAUAGGUGUGGAAACUCUUGUCAGACACGGUAUCUUAAUAACAUCAAUUUAAGUAUUGAAUAUUGGAUUUAAUAUUUUUGAUUCGAGCGUCACUGUUGAGUCUUUUGUAGACGAAACGCGCGUCUAGCGCAAAUAUUAAAUUUCUAUCCUGGUAUCUAUGAUGAGCCCUAUUUUAUCGUAUUUUAUAUUAAAGACCCUCAAAAUCAGAUUCAUACAAAUAUUUGACUCAUUUUGCCAUGUAAUUUACUACACAAUCUACUCUCCAAUACAGACAAAACGAUGCAUAUAGAUACGUUUUAAAUGAAGGCAGGUUUUUAAUAAUUUCCUGUUACAAAUCUUUGAAUUUUUUGAAAAACUAAGGAUUGUCUUAUACAAGGAAUAGAAUUCCUUAACCAUAUUUGACACAACUUUUUGGAAUUUUAGUUCAUUAAUGCUCUUCAUCUUUGUACUUGUUUGGCUUUAUAAAUUUUUUGAUAUGUGCGUCACUGAUGAGUCUUAUUAAAUCAAGUUUCACUAAGAUAGCAAAAUAACAACAAACGCAUGAGUUUUAUUUGAUAUUGUCAACUGAGUUACACAGUUUACAUAAUAUGUUGUUACAUGAGAUAUGAAGACAACAAUUGUUUCCCUUUUAUCCACAUGAAUCAAAACAGUUGACAACAUGUACUAUAUGAGGAGAGUUUCGCAAACCUCUUCCCAACAUCUUUGUCUUGGCGCCUUCUAAAGUCAUGAAUACAAAACACGCAUAGCAUAAUCAAGUUAAAUUAUAAUACUGUAAAACUGAAAAUUCAUUUGAAAAGUAUUAAUGGUCUAUAGCCAAUUUUACAGAUGCACAAUUGUAAUUAUACUCAGAGUGAAAUGUAUCGUGAAAAUAUGAACAAGUUUGCCUAAGGUGUAAUAUGUACAACUGUAUGAUUAUGUGUAUUGAUAGUCCUUUUAAGGAUUUUUAAAUCCUUAUUGCUUUCAAAAUAACAUCACUUGUGAUUAACAUGUACGUACUAAGACAUUCGAAUAAAAAAAACAUGUUCUAUCUGCAGGAAAAUCAUAUAAUAUGAAUAAAAAUCAUAUCACUUAUGUACGGAAAAUCCUAUUAUGUAUGAAUAAAAAUCAUAUUAUAUACAAAUAAAGAUCAUAUUAAAUAUGAAUAAAAAUAAUAUUAAAAAUGAAUAAAAAUCAUAUUAAAUAUGAAUAAAAAUCAUAUUAAAUAUGAUAAUAAAAAUCAUAUUUAAUAUGAAUAAAAAUCAUAUUGAAAAUUAAUAAAAAUCCUAUUAUAUAUAAAUCAAAAGACAUCACAUGCUAUAUUUUAGCCUUUACCAUGUGUCAGCCAUGUAACGACGUAAGUGGUUGUGAGACUACACCAUGUUCAAGGCCAUUUAUAAAAGAAUGCUUUUCUCGGAUUUGUGCUUGUGUUAGUCAAAUUGGUAAGAAUUAAAAGUGUAUUUUAAUGCAACAAUAGAGGUUUUUUUGUUGACAAAAUGGUACUCUCUAUAAAACAUGAACUUCUUCAAAAAAAAAAUUGGCACAGCCGAAUUUUCUUACUUAAUUGCAAGUUGUAAGGAAUAAAAAUUUUAAAGCUAAUAAUGGAAAAGAGGUUUUAAUAAAUAAAACAAAUCGUAAGAAAGAGAAGUAUAUUCCUCUGGUUGUUGAUGAAGCUUGAAAUGAAACACACAAACUUAUGUUAGAAUGAUCUUGAUUCAUUACACUAUUGAGGAUUACUGCUUUAGGGAUGCAGCUAAUAGUGAAAUAUAGGCAUUAAAUUCAUGUGUGAGUGACGUAAAAAAAUAUUUGAAUAUUACAAUAAUGUUAAUUAGGUCAUGAUAACAUAUACAAACAUUUUGGUAAUGUAUUGGAUACUACAAUGCAAACUAUAAUAGUUACUAAGAAGAAACUACAAAAAGAAAAAAUAUAAAAAAGAAUGGAUUUUUGACAAUAAGAUAGGUAUUGUUCUUGAAUGACGACGUGUUUCCUUUGUUGUUGUUGUUUAAUUAGUUAUCAAAGGUACCAGGAUUAUAAUUUCAUACGUCAGACACGCAUUUCGUCUUCAUAAGACUCAUCAGUGACGCUCAUAUAAAAAUAUUUAUAAAGCCAAACAAGUACAAAGUUGAAGAGCAAUGAGGAUCCAAAACUCAAAAAGUCUAAGGUAAUCUAUGCCUGGGAUUAGAAAAUCCUUAGUUUUUCGAAAAAUUAAAAGUUUUGUAAACAGGAAUUUUAUAACAAUGACCACAUUAUUGACAUUUAUGUCACACCGAAUUAACUAUAUGGAUAAAGAGAAACUGAAACAGGUAAAAAUUAUCACAAUGUCAAAAUCUACUGGUAGGUUAUAUUCAGUCAGUAUUGUUUAAGGUGGUACCCAACAUUUUAACUAAAAUUAAUUUGGCUCGUUUAAUAUUCAUUAAAAUUUGUCAAAGUAUUUACUUUGACCCUUUAACAAAAAUAUAGAAAUUUCGAAAACUUUGAACCAACCGUUUAAUCAGAAAAAUUACACUGGUUAUAUAGCAGUUUGACAAACUACAAUUUUGAUCAUUGAGAAGCUUAAUAUUCCUUUUACAACACAACGUAAUUAAAACGUUAAGCCGACUUUACAGAGUUAUCUCCCUGUAGUGUUAGGUACCACCUUAAUAGUCGUAAUCACUACAAAACAAACAAAUAUUAUUAUUGUUUUCCUGGAACUGUUGGAUUCUAUUUUUGGAUUAAGUAUUAAGUCAAAUAAAGCUAAGUGAGUUAUACAAGCUCCUUUGACCAAUUGUUUACUCUUCUAUUUUUUUUUGUAGAAUGUGCAACUGCAUUAGAGUGUAUGCAUUUUAAUGUUUGUCAUAGAAGUAGAGCAUUAUGUGCAAAAGGACGUUGUGCUUGUACGAGUAAUUAGAAAUGCAAAAGGAAAGAUUUCAUAUAACAAAUGCUCAAAAAUUUAUGUCAUAUGAAACGGCAAUCAAUGUAAUUUUCUCUUUUAUCAUAUAACGUUAUACUGACCGAAGACAUUAUAUGUACUUAAAUAUUAUUUAUGUUUUACAAACUACACAAA
Molecule: long non-coding RNA, 3896 nt
Filed under: Mytilus galloprovincialis (Mediterranean mussel)
Lineage: Eukaryota; Metazoa; Mollusca; Bivalvia; Mytilida; Mytilidae
Source: RNAcentral